AGAUGGUAAACAGUUUGAGAUAACACUAGAUUUUCUUGGACUGGUUGAGAAGUUUUUCUAUCUUUCCGGUAGAUAUGAUAUUCAACUUACUGUUGGUGAUGCUGUCAUGGAGAACUCUUACUUACGAGAACUGGGACAUAUUGAAUUAGAUCUUCCAGAACCACCUGAGAAGGCUACCCGCCCUCCUCCACAAGCUGUUGAUCCUUAUUUGAGAUGUGGACCCAAAGCUGAGAUCCUGUCUAUU
Camellia sinensis is the source of this 244-nucleotide non-coding RNA. NCBI's taxonomy places the organism in Eukaryota, Viridiplantae, Streptophyta, Magnoliopsida, Ericales, Theaceae. The record is from RefSeq and is a predicted model, not a curated record.